GAUGAACGCUGGCGGCGUGCCUAAUACAUGCCAGUCGAGCGAACGGACGAGAAGCUUGCUUCUCUGAUGUUAGCGGCGGACGGGUGAGUAACUCGUGGAUAACCUACCUAUAAGACUGGGAUAACUUCGGGAAACCGGAGCUAAUACCGGAUAAUAUUAUGAACCGCAUGGUUCAAAAGUGAAAGACGGUCUUGCUGUCACUUAUAGAUGGAUCCGCGCUGCAUUAGCUAGUUGGUAAGGUAACGGCUUACCAAGGCAACGAUGCAUAGCCGACCUGAGAGGGUGAUCGGCCACACUGGAACUGAGACACGGUCCAGACUCCUACGGGAGGCAGCAGUAGGGAAUCUUCCGCAAUGGGCGAAAGCCUGACGGAGCAACGCCGCGUGAGUGAUGAAGGUCUUCGGAUCGUAAAACUCUGUUAUUAGGGAAGAACAUAUGUGUAAGUAACUGUGCACAUCUUGACGGUACCUAAUCAGAAAGCCACGGCUAACUACGUG
RNAcentral lists this ribosomal RNA (497 nucleotides) under uncultured bacterium. RNAcentral's name for it is "partial 16S ribosomal RNA". It matches the Rfam family "Bacterial small subunit ribosomal RNA", at positions 28 to 507 of the family's 1533-position model. The record is from RNAcentral.